GACGAACGCUGGCGGCGUGCUUAACACAUGCAAGUCGAACGUAAAGGCCCUGCUUUUGUGGGGUGCUCGAGUGGCGAACGGGUGAGUAACACGUGAGUAACCUGCCCUUGACUUUGGGAUAACUUCAGGAAACUGGGGCUAAUACCGGAUAGGAGCUCCUGCUGCAUGGUGGGGGUUGGAAAGUUUCGGCGGUUGGGGAUGGACUCGCGGCUUACCAGCUUGUUGGUGGGGUAGUGGCUUACCAAGGCUUUGACGGGUAGCCGGCCUGAGAGGGUGACCGGCCACAUUGGGACUGAGAUACGGCCCAGACUCCUACGGGAGGCAGCAGUGGGGAAUAUUGCACAAUGGGUGGAAGCCUGAUGCAGCAACGCCGCGUGCGGGAUGACGGCCUUCGGGUUGUAAACCGCUUUCGCCUGUGACGAAGCGUGAGUGACGGUAAUGGGUAAAGAAGCACCGGCUAACUACGU
Molecule: ribosomal RNA, 467 nt
Filed under: uncultured bacterium
Lineage: Bacteria
Description: partial 16S ribosomal RNA
Rfam family: Bacterial small subunit ribosomal RNA
Source: RNAcentral